CCCGAGUAGCUGCGAUUACAGACAUUUGCCACCAUGCCCGGCACAGCACAGCACCGCACAUCUCCAGUCGGACUGGCUACAUUUCAAGGGCUCAACCAUCACGCGUUACCAGUGGCUACUGCAUCAGACUGUGCAGUGCUAGAUGGGGAGUCAGAAGAGAAACCAAGUGAUUUCCAUGUCAAGUGGUGAACAGGCUAAGAAGAAAACCUACUCCGAGUGAAGAUGAUGAAGAUGAAGACCGUUAUG
This 246-nucleotide long non-coding RNA is filed under the name Homo sapiens (human). RNAcentral's name for it is "HSALNT0395989". Lineage: Eukaryota; Metazoa; Chordata; Mammalia; Primates; Hominidae. The record is from RNAcentral.